This 519-nucleotide ribosomal RNA is filed under the name uncultured bacterium. RNAcentral's name for it is "partial 16S ribosomal RNA". It matches the Rfam family "Bacterial small subunit ribosomal RNA", at positions 355 to 866 of the family's 1533-position model. The record is from RNAcentral.
UGGGGAAUUUUGGACAAUGGGCGAAAGCCUGAUCCAGCAAUGCCGCGUGUGUGAAGAAGGCCUUCGGGUUGUAAAGCACUUUUGUCCGGAAAGAAAUGCCUCUGGUUAAUACCUGGGGUCGAUGACGGUACCGGAAGAAUAAGGACCGGCUAACUACGUGCCAGCAGCCGCGGUAAUACGUAGGGUCCAAGCGUUAAUCGGAAUUACUGGGCGUAAAGCGUGCGCAGGCGGUUGUGCAAGACCGAUGUGAAAUCCCCGAGCUUAACUUGGGAAUUGCAUUGGUGACUGCACGGCUAGAGUGUGUCAGAGGGGGGUAGAAUUCCACGUGUAGCGGUGAAAUGCGUAGAGAUGUGGAGGGAAUACCGAUGGGCGAAGGCAGCCCCCUGGGAUAACACUGACGCUCAUGCACGAAAGCGUGGGGAGCAAACAGGAUUAGAUACCCUGGUAGUCCACGCCCUAAACGAUGUCAACUAGUUGUUGGGAUUCAUUUCCUUAGUAACGUAGCUAACGCGUGAAGUU